UUGGGGUAUGGGGUAAUUGGCAGCCCGACUGAUUCUGGUUCAGUUAGUCCAGGUUCGAGUCCUGGUACCCCAGCGCG
RNAcentral lists this transfer RNA (77 nucleotides) under Cutibacterium acnes. RNAcentral's name for it is "tRNA-Gln". It matches the Rfam family "tRNA". From Rfam's summary of the family: Transfer RNA (tRNA) molecules are approximately 80 nucleotides in length. Their secondary structure includes four short double-helical elements and three loops (D, anti-codon, and T loops). Further hydrogen bonds mediate the characteristic L-shaped molecular structure. tRNAs have two regions of fundamental functional importance: the anti-codon, which is responsible for specific mRNA codon recognition, and the 3' end, to which the tRNAs corresponding amino acid is attached (by aminoacyl-tRNA synthetases). tRNAs cope with the degeneracy of the genetic code in two manners: having more than one tRNA (with a specific anti-codon) for a particular amino acid; and 'wobble' base-pairing, i.e. permitting non-standard base-pairing at the 3rd anti-codon position. The record is from RNAcentral. Lineage: Bacteria; Bacillati; Actinomycetota; Actinomycetes; Propionibacteriales; Propionibacteriaceae. RNAcentral also lists the same sequence under 1 other name.